AAGGUUAAAGAACAUGAAGAAGAGAUUGCACUUUUAAGAAGUCAGCUUGCUGACUAUUCAGUGAAGGCAUUUGAUUGGCAGCAACAAGAUUUGGUUGAUGCUGCAUCAAAAGCUUGAGCCUAUAGACAAGACAUCAUCGAAGAGAACAUCCGACUGACAUAUGCGUUGCAGUGCGUCCGGAACCACAAAAAACGCCCACCAUGAAGAGUUGGUUAGAUCACGAGGACCUGCAUUUCAAAUGAAUGUGAGUUACAUUCAGAACUCCGUUAUCAUGUAGCAUCCCAUGGGUGAUUUUGGGAAAAUGUAUCCUGGUUACUACACUGGUCACUCAGGCAUGCUCGCACCGGCAGCCCUCAGUGGCGAGACAAAGGAUGCAGCCAUGGGAAGAUGAAUGCACUGGACUUCUUGAGAUCGAAGCCACCAACGGCAUAUGCCAAGGGCGUCCAUGGACAACCUGCCCAAGGUCUGGAUUCACCGAGGAGGUACAACUGGACACUUGGUCGGCUGCCUGCUGAAAGGGGGAGGAGUGAAAAACAAACUGAGGCGGGCGGAGGUAA
Long non-coding RNA from Triticum dicoccoides, 557 nucleotides. RefSeq lists it as uncharacterized. NCBI's taxonomy places the organism in Eukaryota, Viridiplantae, Streptophyta, Magnoliopsida, Poales, Poaceae. The record is from RefSeq and is a predicted model, not a curated record. The transcript is spliced from 6 exons.